RNAcentral lists this ribosomal RNA (253 nucleotides) under uncultured bacterium. Its description in RNAcentral is "partial 16S ribosomal RNA". It matches the Rfam family "Bacterial small subunit ribosomal RNA", at positions 524 to 776 of the family's 1533-position model. The record is from RNAcentral.
UACGUAGGGUGCAAGCGUUGUCCGGAAUUAUUGGGCGUAAAGAGCUCGUAGGCGGUUUGUCGCGUCUGCUGUGAAAAUCCAGGGCUUAACCCUGGACCUGCAGUGGGUACGGGCAGACUAGAGUGCGGUAGGGGAGAUCGGAAUUCCUGGUGUAGCGGUGAAAUGCGCAGAUAUCAGGAAGAACACCCGUGGCUAAGGCGGCUCUCUAGUACGGUACUGACGCUGAGACGCGAAAGCGUGGGGAGCGAACAGG